GACGAACGCUGGCGGCGUGCUUAACACAUGCAAGUCGAGCGGUAAGGCCCUUUCGGGGGUACACGAGCGGCGAACGGGUGAGUAACACGUGGGUGACCUGCCUCUAGCUCUGGGAUAAGCCUGGGAAGCUGGGUCUAAUACCGGAUAUGACCUCGCGGUGCAUGUUGCGGGGUGGAAAGCCUUGUGCGGCUAGGGAUGGGCCCGCGGCCUAUCAGCUUGUUGGUGGGGUGANGGCCUACCAAGGCGACGACGGGUAGCCGGCCUGAGAGGGCGACCGGCCACACUGGGACUGAGACACGGCCCAGACUCCUACGGGAGGCAGCAGUGGGGAAUCUUGCGCAAUGGGCGAAAGCCUGACGCAGCGACGCCGCGUGAGGGAUGACGGCCUGGUUGUAACU
RNAcentral lists this ribosomal RNA (398 nucleotides) under uncultured bacterium. RNAcentral's name for it is "bacterial SSU rRNA". It matches the Rfam family "Bacterial small subunit ribosomal RNA", at positions 28 to 430 of the family's 1533-position model. The record is from RNAcentral.